UCCACUCCCACUGCUUCACUUGACC
RNAcentral lists this non-coding RNA (25 nucleotides) under Cricetulus griseus (Chinese hamster). The record is from RNAcentral. Lineage: Eukaryota; Metazoa; Chordata; Mammalia; Rodentia; Cricetidae.